AGCUCCAAUAGCGUAUACUAAAGUUGCUGCGGUUAAAAAGCUCGUAGUUGGACCUCAGGCUUCAGGCGGGCGGUCCGUCUCUCGGCGCGAUCUGCCCGACCUGGCCUCCACGCCGGCAUCGUCCCCUGGUGCUCUUGACUGAGUGUCUCGGGCGGCCGGAACGUUUACUUUGAAGAAAUUGGAGUGCUCAAAGCAGGCCCAGCGCCCGCACAAUGGUGCAUGGAAUAAUGGAAUAGGGCCUGGGCUCUAUGGGGUUGGUUUUGGGAGUCGGGGAAAUGAUAAAUAGAGGCGGACGGGGGCAUUGGUAUGGCGGGGUUAGGGGUGAAAUUCUUGGACCGCCGCAAGACGGACUACAGCGAAAGCAUUUGCCAAGCAUGUUUUCA
This 383-nucleotide ribosomal RNA is filed under the name marine Metazoa environmental sample. Its description in RNAcentral is "SSU rRNA". It matches the Rfam family "Eukaryotic small subunit ribosomal RNA", at positions 587 to 972 of the family's 1831-position model. Lineage: Eukaryota; Metazoa. The record is from RNAcentral.